The submitters of this non-coding RNA (68 nucleotides) gave its source as unclassified sequences. The record is from Rfam.
GGUCUGGAAUCCGAGACCUUAAAGGCAGAUUAUUCACAGGGGGAUGGUUACCCCCCUAAAAUAACCUA